Molecule: non-coding RNA, 1103 nt
Organism: Prunus avium (sweet cherry)
Lineage: Eukaryota; Viridiplantae; Streptophyta; Magnoliopsida; Rosales; Rosaceae
Source: RefSeq, a predicted model, not a curated record
UGCUCCUGAGUUAACGGCUUUUAACGUAUAAGUCGUUUUCAUUGUCAAGUAGGGAAUGUUCGGGGCGAUGACUAUCCUGAUUACGUUUAGGCUACUUAGCCAGACUUUUGAAAUUUCUUGGUCUGCCUGCCUAAGCCUUGUAGAAUAAUGUAAUGCCAAGAAGCAUAGGCCAUUUAACUUGCUGGGUUUGCUUUGCUUUGCUUUGCUAUUUUAAUUAAUAAUUAAUCUUAUUUAGGACCUCAAGUUAUCUUUAAAUAUGCAUUAAGUAACUUUUGGGUUGGGUAACCAAGUCACCAUUAGUUUUUAUAAUUGGCUCAGUAAUUAUUUAAUAAUUAAUUGAAAAGCAGUCGGUGUUAGGCAAAGCAUGAUUCAGAUCAGAUGAAGAAGAUACGAUAAUUGCUUCAGAGCAGCUUAAGGGGUUGAUGGAUGGAUAGGCUCUCAUCUCACCUCACAAGGUUUUGUUUUGCUUUUUGUGAAGGUGGGUCCACCUAAGUUGGACCAGCCUAGAGGUUCUUCUUCUUGUAGAGACGUGACGCCACGCAGGGAAGCAUUCCCCUUCUUCCCCAAGUAUACUUUACAGAAGAUGAAACAACGACAAGUCGUAUAAAGCAACGGGUUCGCCCGAAACAAACAAGUGAGACGUGUCUCUCUGGCAGACAAUGGAAUGGGAUUGUAAAGCAGCAUCGCGUGACGUAUGGGAGUUUGACUAAAGUCUCAUUGUGGUCAGAUAAUCGUACGGCGGUUAGGAGCGAGAGAGAUGGACACCGCCACAUGCGCACGUUCAUUAUUACAAUUGCUUUUUUUAUUUUUUUAUUAUUGUCUAUUAUUUAUUUAUUUAAUAAAUUGAUGGGAUGGAAGUAUGGAUACCCGCGCGGUGCCCCAAAUAUUCUCUCUCAUUCUUGAUUCUUCCAUCAUCGUCGACACGUUUCGCGACCACAUGAGCUCUCAAGUGGUGGGCUCCCAUCAUUUUCUGCCACGUGUCCACUGCCUCCAGUCCUUCAGCAGUAGUCGCCCUGCCGCCGUCACCGUUUUCUGCAGAAAUGGCUCAGCCUCAGCGUCAGCUGCGACUGCUACCCUACCUCAUUUUCUACAAGUUUUAUUUG